UGCAGCUGGACAUUCAGACUGGAGAUCUCAAGAUCACAAACUUCAGAAUCACAGACUCCGGACUUUAUAAGUUUGAGAUCAACAGCCCCAGACAGUUCUCAGAGAAGACAUUCAGUGUCAGUGGAAAUUUUUGGUACCUCGUAUCAAGAUGAACACAUGCUGUAAGAUACUGUUUGUUUUUUCUUUUCCCCCCCUAGGUUUUAUCAAAGAUAAGGAGGAAGACCUCCAGAAGGGAGCCGAUGACCUGCCUUUGAUGAAUGAUUUAGUGAUUAAAUAGUUCAAACCCACUGAAACAGAGAACAGCAGUAGUUUAUAGUCACUAUAACAAUAUACACGUGAAGAGUGUUUGAGGGCCAGUUUGACUGAUUUACAGUAAUGCAGGACGUUACACUAAAAUGGCUUGAUUGUUACACCUGAAAUUUUUUUGCAGGACUGAACUCAGGUUAAUUAAUGUAUGUAUGAUUUUAUUCUUGUUUGUUUUUAUUUGAUACUCUUGCACUGUUACAUUGCACGUAUUUGUGCUUUAAGUUUUCAUGCUUCAAUAUUUUGUAGAUGAUUUUUGUUUAAAAAACAAAACAAAGCAUAAUAUAAUAUUUUCAAUAUUGUCUGUCCCCUGAUAAGAUGUGAGUGUGAUAUCCGAACUGUGGUCUGAAAUCAAAGUGUUUUUUGAAGACUGCAGUGCUCAGAUAAUCUGAGUUUCAGAUGAUCUUACUGUAUAAACAUUUAAUUCCUUCAGGUUACACAUCCCAUGUUUUCAUGAGUUGUACUGAACAGAUCAAAUAUUUUAGUGAUCAAAUAUAAAUAUCAGUCUAAAGCUUUAGACUAGGAAGCCUAAAAGCAGGAUUUAUGUAAAUGUAAUAACAGUAAUACAGUAUAAAACACAGAUGUGGUCAAUUGCAUUUUGAAAGAAACGGUUUGUGAAUAACUGUAAAUGUCACUGAAACGACACAGAAACACUUGCCGUCAUUGGUCCAGUGUUUGUAUCUGCAUCAUCCAAUGAUGCUUUAAAAACUGGCACACAAGUAAAAUAGUCCCUGAUGCUGAAUUGUAAAAGGGGGGAUUUUCAAAUCUGGAAAAUUCUAAAAUGGAGUCACAUUAGAAUUUAAUUGAAAUUAAAUUACGUUGCACUUUAAAAAGACCAAACAAUAAAACUACAGCCAGCAUUGGAUACCUUUGUUGGCCCAAUUGGGUGGACCUUACAGUGUUCAGAGCUUGGUUUCUGGGUCCUGACACUUCUGUCUAGAUUAGUUACAGUGCCAUGAUCCAAACAUCCAGUCUUUGUGACUUUUGGCUGUCUUGACCCACUUGCUCUUCCUUGUUACCCUCCUUAUUGAUAGUGGCUGGACUUUCUAAGAACUUAGUAAGAAAGAAUAAUCAAAUACAGAAAGUUCAAAAAUAAUUUUUAUUUCUAGAAACUAUUCACAUCUUCCUUUAAAUGUACUGUAUGUAAAGUAUUGUAAACUAACCUACAUAAUUUACAGGAUGUAUAUAGACUACUUUAAAAUAACUAUUUGGCCAUGAUACAUAGGCUACAUCUUCAAAUAAUAUAUCCAUCACAUUGAAUGUUUAACUUACUUUUGUAUUUUGGCCCAGUUCACUCUCACGUCUCAACAUUAGCUGUAAAAAUAGUUGCCUGCUGAAAUUGAAAUAUAUGUAGGCCUACAUCUUCAUGACUAGAUAGACACAGGUGAGUUUCUCUUUACUACUCGUUAGGUUUCUGUAACGUUAUAUGCGAUUCGAGUCACUCAACCGGAGGUAAUCCUGUCAGAUCGUCCAUCCAUGAGCAUAGAGCGUUUUAUUUUUUAUUUUUUUUUGUAGAUAUGACCGCUUUACGAUUAAAAAAAGAUUUAAUUUAGAUUUUUAUUCACAUAUAAGCACAUCCAUUUUGUAUAUUAAUUUUAUUAAAUUUUUAUGACUUUUGGGGGUAUCUAAGUUUUGGUUACAUGGACUGUCACUGGAGAGAAAGAAAGCUUUCAGGUGUCAUAAAAAAAAAUAAUCUUAAUUUGCAUUUUAAAGAUAACCAAAAUCUGAUGGAUUUGAAAUACAGGAAAGUGAGUAAACGAUGACGAUUUUCAUUUUCGGGUGAACUAUUCCUUCAAAAUGAAGAUAGGAAAACCUCAUAUACACUUCAAAGUCCUUGGAUGCCUUGAGUAUACUGUCACUUCCCUGACAAUUAAGCUAAAGAUGAUGGUUUUCCAUUUAAUUGAUGUUAAAAAGCACCAAAUAUCAGGAGAAUUGUUUUGGCCAAUUAAUAAAAUGUAUUGAAUUCUAUGAGUUUACAAUGCUGACCUUGCAUUCUAAUGUAUAUUUCCAAUCAAUUUGACCAAAUGUGAGAGACUUUUUUUAUUUUUUUAAUUAAUGCAGGUUCAUCUGAAGUGUUUUUUCAAUGGCACAUUGAUGUUACAUUUCUGUUGUAAAUUCUAUGUAAUGUCUAUGCAGUUCUAAAAGUGGAAAUUAUGUAAAUAAGUGUUAAAGAUUACAGUGUGAUGUACUAAACUCUUUUUUUUUUUAAUGUUUGACUCUCAAGAGUGUAAAAAGCUUCAUUUUUUUUUCCAAACGGUGAUUCAGUGACAUUUAACAUAGUAUCCCAUUCUGAAGGUGAAGAAAUUGCUUAAUAUUUACAAUUUAGAUUUGUAUUUAUGAGGAUAUUUUGUUAAAAAUUAUGUACAAAUGUAAGUUAAUCCAAAUAGAUUUAGUGAUAAUUUGUGGUAUACUUAAUGCAAAUAGUGGCAGAUAUCUGCACCUCAGUAUCAAGGGCGUAAAUUUC
Molecule: RNA transcript, 2767 nt
Organism: Onychostoma macrolepis
Lineage: Eukaryota; Metazoa; Chordata; Actinopteri; Cypriniformes; Cyprinidae
Exons: 3
Source: RefSeq, a predicted model, not a curated record